Molecule: long non-coding RNA, 2729 nt
Organism: Dermochelys coriacea (leatherback sea turtle)
Lineage: Eukaryota; Metazoa; Chordata; Testudines; Dermochelyidae
Exons: 3
Source: RefSeq, a predicted model, not a curated record
UCCCAUGGCUGGCGGCCUUGUGCGCAGGCGUCGCAGAGACCGCCUCGACCGUCAUUGAGCUCCACGCGGACUGACUCUAUAGUUACUUAGAGCCUCGCUCGGCUCCGGUCACUUUCGUGGAGCCCCCGUGAUGACGUCAGAGGUAACGCAGCCAAUCCCCGCACCAUUGCUGUCCUGCUUAUUUGCAUGCGGGAGUUCGAUUGGUUGGAAUGGCUCCGUGGACUGAGUUUGAUCGGACACGUGCAUUAACUGUUCCUUCCUCUCCCUACCUUCCUUGGCCCAACUGUUAGGGCUGGGUAAAGAUUUGGCUGCCUGCUAGUUUGUGCAGGGAGCCAGCACCACUGGGGAAACUGAGGCCAAGGGAUAGGAAACAAUAGACGGUGAGCUGAGUGAAUCAAAGUGCUUCACCUAGCGUUGAGGCUUUGAGGAGACAAUUGUCGAGGGGUUUGAAUUCCCAGAGACCGGAGAGUUGCCCUUGAGUCUUUCAUUGAAUGAAGUAUGUCGUUUGUCGUGGAGGCAAAGAGUUUGUCAACAUUGAAGGGAAGAUCUUCAAGGGUAUUUUGGACCUCUCGAGGAAAGGAAGAGGAGGAGAGCCAUGAACCUCGGCGCAUGACCACUGCUGUAGCAGUGGAUCUUGCUGCAGUUUUGGCUGCAUCGAGGGCGGCUUGAAGAGAGAUACAUGAGAUGAUCUGUCCCUCGGAAACUAGAGCCAUGAAUUUUUGUUUCUUCCGGAAUGUCAUCAAUAAAGUCCAUGAAUUUGUUGUAAUUUUUGUGGUCAUAUUUUGCCAGAAUGGCAGUAUAAUUAGCAAUGCGAAAUUGUAACGUGGAAGAUGCAUAUACUUUAUGUCCAAGCAGAUCUAAUUGCUUACUGUCCUUGUCAGACGGCGUGGAGCAGGGAAACUGAGGUUUGGUCUUUUGCUUGACUGCCAAUGAGUUUGGCGCUGGAUGAGUGAAAAGGAAUUCAGAACCCUUAGAAGGGAUGAAGUACUUGCGGUCCGCUCGUUUAUAGGUAGGUAGGCUUGCAGCAGGAGUCUGCCAGAUGGCCUUAGUAGGUUCCAAAAGGGCUGCGUUGAUCAGUAAUGCAAUCCUAGAAGAAGAAGAGGGCUGCAGGAUGUCUAUUAACUCAAGGUGCUGUUCAGAAACUUCCUCCAAGUUAAUUCUUAACUCACUGGCAACUCUUGUGAAAAGGUCUUGAAAUUUUGAGAAAUCAUCCGAAGGUGCAGGGGGAGGAGGAAGUAAGGCUUCAUCAGGCGUAACAACUGGGUCUACUGGGUUUGAGGCAGGUCAUGACAGAUCCUGCAGUUGUGACGGUGCUGCCUGGUGUCUUAUGUCAAUGGCAGUUUUGUCAGCUGGGGAUGCCGGGCAGGUGUCGUGCCUGGUUGAGGUGGCACAGCGAGUGUGGUCUCGAGGAUAAGAUGCCUAUGGGGCCCAAUAUUGCCACUGUGGUGGGAAGGGCAUAGGUGGUGCCAUCCAGAGGCUUACACACCACGGGGCAGGAUCCUGAGAGUAGGACAAAGUAAUUUUUCUAUGACCUCUAUUGAUUGGGGUCUGAGGAUGGGAGAUUUGAUAUGGUGAAAAUUCCCCCUGCAUUCCAGUUUCCUCAUCACUGGAGGAGGAAGGCUGUCCAGACCCUGACUGAGCAUUUGGAGAGAGUAGGCAUUGAGUAGGGGUGACUGCAGGAUAGGUGACACCAGCAGGUCCCUUGACUGUAAAUUGUGAUGCUGGAGCUCCUCUGUGAGGUGAGGGCUGUGCAAGAGGAAUCUGCUUUGAAGAAAAGUUCCUCUGCACCAGUGUCCCAAGCACUGUUUCACUGCCGGCCAGCUCAGCGGGUGUCGGUGCAGGGAGAGCAAUAACAGCCUGCGGGGGGUCAGGCAUGUCAGCAUGUGUCGGCACUGCUUCCGUCGCGGUGCUGAACGGUGCCAGAUGAGAGGCAGGCAACUGGAAGCCUAAAGCCUCGGGAGUAGAGCUUCGUAGUACUGCCACAGCUGCAGGUGGGUUUCGCGUGGCACCGGAGUAGCCCGGCAUGUCAAAAGUGCUCAGCCGGGGAAGCGCCGGGAGGGAGGCUGUAGACUUCCCCGGGGAAGUCUUCUCCUGCGAAGUUCCCUUUUCGGGUGAGAGAAGAUGCUGGUUUUUUGAAGUUUUUUUGUCCUUCUUUGAGGCGUGCGGGGAGGGGAGGGGGCGCUGUGGCGUGCAGUGGAGCUGGAGUCGGCGCCCGGGUCUGCAGCGGACCCUGAAAAUUUUUGAAAGAGCGGCAGUUUUAGCCUCUGCUCCCUCUCCUCCUGUGCCCUAGAUUGCUGCAGUGGGCACAUUUUUGAGGGAUGUAGGACUCCCCCAAACAUUUAAUGCAUUUUGAAUGGCCAUCGAACAGAGGGAUGGCGUGAUUGCAGGUAGAGCAGCGCUUAAACCUGGGGAGCCAGGCAUGUCGGAAGCGGCUGCUUGUAAGGAAAAUUUUUUUUUUUAAGAGAGAAAAAGAUAGAAAAAUGGUAACUAAGUAUUACUGGUAACAAACUAACUAACUAAAAAGAUAAUUGUAACAAAGGGAGAGAAAGUGUCUAACAAGUCUGCUGAGCUCAGUCUCAGGCCGGGAACGGUAGAGAAGGAACUGAGGAGACCAGUCGCGCACGCAUACUAUUAAGGUACACUCAGAGCGGGGGCGGGCAGGCUCUGUGCGUGUGCGACCGGCACGAGUACUGCUGUAAAAAUCUCCAAGCGAAGGUGCAGGGAUGCAC